GUAGCCUAGUGGUUAGAGUGUAGAGGUGGUAGGUAGUCUAGUGGUUAGAGUGUAGAGGUGGCAGGUAGCCUAGUGGUUAGAGUGUAGAGGUGGCAGGUAGCCUAGUGGUUAGAGUGUAGAGGUGGCAGGUAGCCUAGUGGUUAGAGUGUAGAGGUGGUAGGUAGCCUAGUGGUUAGAGUGUAGAGGUGGUAGGUAGCCUAGUGGUUAGAGUGUAGAGGAGGUAGGUAGCCUAGUGGUUAGAGUGUAGAGGAGGUAGGUAGCCUAGUGGUUAGAGUGUAGAGGUGGCAGGUAGCCUAGUGGUUAGAGUGUAGAGGUGGCAGGUAGCCUAGUGGUUAGAGUGUAGAGGUGGCAGGUAGCCUAGUGGUUAGAGUGUAGAGGCGGCAGGUAGCCUAGUGGUUAGAGUGUAGAGGCGGCAGGUAGCCUAGUGGUUAGAGUGUAGAGGUGGCAGGUAGCCUAGUGGUUAGAGUGUAGAGGUGGCAGGUAGCCUAGUGGUUAGAGUGUAGAGGUGGCAGGUAGCCUAGUGGUUCGAGUGUAGAGGUGGCAGGUAGCCUAGUGGUUAGAGUGUCGAAGCGGCAGGUAGCCUAGUGGUUAGAGUGUAGAAGCGGCAG
This 608-nucleotide long non-coding RNA is filed under the name Salmo salar (Atlantic salmon). Its description in RNAcentral is "lncRNA (ENSSSAG00000122243.1)". The record is from RNAcentral. Lineage: Eukaryota; Metazoa; Chordata; Actinopteri; Salmoniformes; Salmonidae.